Mauremys reevesii (Reeves's turtle) is the source of this 1116-nucleotide long non-coding RNA. RefSeq lists it as uncharacterized. The transcript has 4 exons. Lineage: Eukaryota; Metazoa; Chordata; Testudines; Geoemydidae. The record is from RefSeq and is a predicted model, not a curated record.
UCCACACGGACCCUGCCGGCUUCCCGCGCGCAGCACGCCCCGCCCCCCCUGCCUCACUUCCGCCAACGGGGCUCCAACUCGGCCGCCUGCCUCUGCCUCUAACCCCGCCCGCCAGCGGCUCCCGCGCGACUCCUGACUCCGCCCCCCAACCGCGUGAUUGGCACUUUAUCGGAGGUCCUUCAGUGUCGUCGAAGACCCAGAGUGAGUGAAGGACCCGCCUUCAAAGACUAGGAGUGCCGCCCAGUAUACCCAGCUGCUUUCAUUAUCCCUUCACAGCUAUGGCCAGCUGCAUUUCUUGACCUUCAAAAUGUUUGACAAGAUGUAUAUUUCUCCUUGAACACUGUAAACAGCUGGAUUGCUUAUCUGACAAGCAUUAACAGCCACACUGCCUCACAGGUUUAUUAUUCAAAGAAAAAAUACAGCUGACAACAGACAAUAUCAGAGCAUGAUGAAGAAAACCCCAGGCAUAGGAAGAAGAAAAUAUAAAGUGCUUUAUAAAUAACAAACUGGACAAUAAUACAUUAUUCUACCCUAUAUGGACAAUUAAGUAUGCAAUAAACUAUAAAAUUAGCGGGGCCUGGUCCAACUGUUGUUUAAAUUGCAUAUUAUUAAGCAAAAUGAGUUCUUGUACCUGUGGUUUUAAAUCUUUCUUACUGAAAUAUGGCUGAAUUUACUUACUAUGUAAAAGCAAUGUCUCAUUACUCUAUGCUUCUUUGUUAAUUAAUAUACUAGCAUGAUAUCAGGAAUGUGCAUAAGAUUCAAGGGCUGGGCAAAAGACAAUUCCACAGUCUGGUAUCUUUCAAAAUAGGAGAUUCCAAAAUCUAGAUGGAAUUAUUGAUUAAAUUUCAAAAUUAUUUAAAUCUGGAAGAAGGGUAUUAUGAAAAAUAUAUUUAUGUAUACUGAUACACAUUAAUUAUUUUGACCACCAGACAGCAGAAACUGUCUCUAAACCUAUAAUUCAUGGUAUUAGUCUGACGGAGGUUGUCAGUGUUGCCUGUAGCUUCUAAUAAAUUCAAAUUAUAUUAUCCUGCUGCUUUAAAUUGAGGAUACUGUAGUUUUUAUUAAACAUAAUUACGGUCUUCUGUUUGCAUGGCAAAUGUGUAACUACUAAGGAUG